Molecule: transfer RNA, 77 nt
Filed under: Chloroflexota bacterium
Lineage: Bacteria; Bacillati; Chloroflexota
Also listed under: 1 other name
Description: Chloroflexi bacterium (marine sediment metagenome) tRNA-Pro
Rfam family: tRNA
About the family: Transfer RNA (tRNA) molecules are approximately 80 nucleotides in length. Their secondary structure includes four short double-helical elements and three loops (D, anti-codon, and T loops).
Source: RNAcentral
CGGGGAGUGGCCUAGCGGUUCAGGGCACCUGACUGGGGGUCAGGGGAUCGCCGGUUCGAAUCCGGCCUCCCCGACCA